This 468-nucleotide ribosomal RNA is filed under the name uncultured bacterium. RNAcentral's name for it is "partial 16S ribosomal RNA". It matches the Rfam family "Bacterial small subunit ribosomal RNA", at positions 28 to 507 of the family's 1533-position model. The record is from RNAcentral.
GACGAACGCUGGCGGCGUGCUUAACACAUGCAAGUCGAACGGAAAGGCCCUGCUUUUGUGGGGUGCUCGAGUGGCGAACGGGUGAGUAACACGUGAGUAACCUGCCCUUGACUUUGGGAUAACUUCAGGAAACUGGGGCUAAUACCGGAUAGGAGCUCCGGCUGCAUGGUGGGGGUUGGAAAGUUUCGGCGGUUGGGGAUGGACUCGCGGCUUAUCAGCUUGUUGGUGGGGUAGUGGCUUACCAAGGCUUUGACGGGUAGCCGGCCUGAGAGGGUGACCGGCCACAUUGGGACUGAGAUACGGACCAGACUCCUACGGGAGGCAGCAGUGGGGAAUAUUGCACAAUGGGCGGAAGCCUGAUGCAGCAACGCCGCGUGCGGGAUGAAGGCCUUCGGGUUGUAAACCGCUUUCGCCUGUGACGAAGCGUGAGUGACGGUAAUGGGUAAAGAAGCACCGGCUAACUACGUG